This 65-nucleotide transfer RNA is filed under the name Dipodomys ordii (Ord's kangaroo rat). It matches the Rfam family "tRNA". Rfam says of the family: Transfer RNA (tRNA) molecules are approximately 80 nucleotides in length. Their secondary structure includes four short double-helical elements and three loops (D, anti-codon, and T loops). Lineage: Eukaryota; Metazoa; Chordata; Mammalia; Rodentia; Heteromyidae. The record is from Rfam by way of RNAcentral.
GGUGGCUCAGUGGAAGAGUGCUUGCCUUGCAUGCACGAGGCCCUGGGUUCAAUUCCCUAGUACCA